Molecule: small RNA, 543 nt
Filed under: Lodderomyces parapsilosis
Lineage: Eukaryota; Fungi; Ascomycota; Pichiomycetes; Serinales; Debaryomycetaceae
Description: eukaryotic LSU rRNA
Rfam family: 5.8S ribosomal RNA (bases 204-357)
Source: RNAcentral
AAAGUUAAAGUCGUAACAAGGUUUCCGUAGGUGAACCUGCGGAAGGAUCAUUACAGAAUGAAAAGUGCUUAACUGCAUUUUUUCUUACACAUGUGUUUUUCUUUUUUUGAAAACUUUGCUUUGGUAGGCCUUCUAUAUGGGGCCUGCCAGAGAUUAAACUCAACCAAAUUUUAUUUAAUGUCAACCGAUUAUUUAAUAGUCAAAACUUUCAACAACGGAUCUCUUGGUUCUCGCAUCGAUGAAGAACGCAGCGAAAUGCGAUAAGUAAUAUGAAUUGCAGAUAUUCGUGAAUCAUCGAAUCUUUGAACGCACAUUGCGCCCUUUGGUAUUCCAAAGGGCAUGCCUGUUUGAGCGUCAUUUCUCCCUCAAACCCUCGGGUUUGGUGUUGAGCGAUACGCUGGGUUUGCUUGAAAGAAAGGCGGAGUAUAAACUAAUGGAUAGGUUUUUUCCACUCAUUGGUACAAACUCCAAAACUUCUUCCAAAUUCGACCUCAAAUCAGGUAGGACUACCCGCUGAACUUAAGCAUAUCAAUAGCGGGGAGG